UACGUAGGGUGCGAGCGUUAAUCGGAAUUACUGGGCGUAAAGCGUGCGCAGGCGGUUUUGUAAGCCAGAUGUGAAAGCCCCGGGCUUAACCUGGGAAUGGCAUUUGGGACUGCAAGGCUAGAGUGUGGCAGAGGAGACUGGAAUUCCUGGUGUAGCAGUGAAAUGCGUAGAUAUCGUAAGGAAGGCCGGUGGCGAAAGCGAGCCUCUGGACAGUUACUGACGCUGAUGCACGAAGGCCAGGGGAGCAAACGGG
RNAcentral lists this ribosomal RNA (253 nucleotides) under uncultured bacterium. RNAcentral's name for it is "partial 16S ribosomal RNA". It matches the Rfam family "Bacterial small subunit ribosomal RNA", at positions 524 to 776 of the family's 1533-position model. The record is from RNAcentral.